UACAGAGGGUGCGAGCGUUAAUCGGAAUUACUGGGCGUAAAGCGCACGUAGGCGGCUUGGUAUGUCGGGUGUGAAAUCCCCGGGCUCAACCUGGGAACUGCAUCCGAAACUGCCUUGCUCGAGUAUGGGAGAGGGAAGUGGAAUUUCCGGUGUAGCGGUGAAAUGCGUAGAUAUCGGAAGGAACAUCAGUGGCGAAGGCGACUUCCUAGACCAAUACUGACGCUCAGGUGCGAAAGCGUGGGGAGCAAACAGG
Molecule: ribosomal RNA, 253 nt
Filed under: uncultured bacterium
Lineage: Bacteria
Description: partial 16S ribosomal RNA
Rfam family: Bacterial small subunit ribosomal RNA
Source: RNAcentral